Molecule: long non-coding RNA, 1780 nt
Organism: Equus caballus (horse)
Lineage: Eukaryota; Metazoa; Chordata; Mammalia; Perissodactyla; Equidae
Source: Ensembl
AUGGCAGCAGCUGGGCCAUCUGCUGGCUCAGGCCCCCUGCAGCCCGUCAUGCCAACUGUAGAUCCAUUUGAAGACAUUAGUAUAAGGACUCAGAGGUUGGUUGAUUUGUUUGCAGUGGAUCCUGGCUGUGAUAAGGAAGUGUUAGCCCUCUCAGGCAGAUUUCUUGGAGACAAUAAAACUCCUGGGGAAACUACAGAAGAGACAUUGACUAGUAUUCUGGAUGUUACUGCCCUGGAUUGCAUUUACAGUGCUGAUAAAGGAGACCCACUGGAGAGUGAGAGACUAACCCAAAGAAAUUGGAUAAAUUCUUGUGGUCAGCCCCACCACCAUGGAAAACAUCUCUAACCCUUAUGUUGAAAUGAGGCAAGAGGUUAGGAGAUGUUAGCGUGGAAGUAGGGCCACAGGUGCCCCAUAUUAAAGUGGACUCCUUUAGGGGGCCAGCCCUGUGGCGUAGUGGUUAAGUUUGCUCACUCCACUUUAGCAGCCCAGGAUUCACAGAUUUGGAUCCUGGGUGCAGACCUAUACACCACUCAUCAGGCCAUGGUGUGGUGGCAUCCCACAUACAAACUAGAAGAAGACUGGCACAGAUGUUAGCCCAGGGACAAUUUUCCUCAAGCAAAAUUUUGGAGGAUUGGCCACAGAUGUUAGCUCAGGGCCCAUCUUCCUCACCCAAAACAAAAACAAGUGGACUGCUUUAAAAAGUUGCUGCUGCUGGAGACAAGCAUGAGUCAGCCAGAGGGUGCAAACCUAGUGGUCACAGAGGCUGGAAAGCAAUGUGGACUGUGCUGCUGAGUCAAUGGGUUCCGUGGUACAAGCAAAAGGAUCUCAUCACCCAAGACAGAAUACUGGGUGGGAUGAAAACAUUCAAAGCUCAUGGCUGAACCAAAGGUGCUGCCACACCGCUCAAAAGUGAAGAAAUACCAUCUCUUGCAGGAUUGCUCCUUCGUGGAUUCUCUUCGCCCCUCUAAGGAUGCCUGCCACAGCACAACUUGACAGGUGGUGCAUAGAUCUGCACCCGGGAUCCAAAUCUGCGAACCCUGAGCCGCCAAAGUGGAAUGUGUGAACUUAACCGCUGGACCACCAAGCUGGCCCCAACUUAUUUUAUUUUUUGCAGUAUUUUUUAAUCGAAAUACGUUUGAUAUAUUGUGUAAUUUAAGGUGUACAAUAUGUUUUGACUACAUUUAUAUAUUGUAAUAUGACUGCCAUUGGAGCAAUAGUUAGCACUUCUAUCAUGUCACAUAAUUAUCUUUCUUUUCUCUGUGGUGGAAUAAAGAUCGAAUCUCUUAGCAAGUUUGAUUAUAAUGCAAUCUUGUCUAUAUUCACUAUACUGCACAUUAGAUCUCUGGGGCUUAUUUGUGUACUAGUUACAUGUUUGUACCUUUCAAACAUCUCUCCUAUUCCCUCACUCCCUAGUCCCUGGUAACUACCACUAUACUGUUUUUACAAGUUUGGCUUACAAGUGAGAUCAGACAGUGUAUGUCUUUCUCUGUCUCACUUACCUCACUUAGCAUAAUGUCCUCAAGAUCCAUCCAUGUUGUCUCAAGUAGCAGGAUUUCCUUAAUUUUUAUGGAUAAAUAAUAUUCCAUUGUGUGUGUGUGUGUGUCUGUGUGUGUGUAUCACAUCUUCUUUAUCCAUUCAUCUGUAAAUGGACAUUUAGGUUGUUUCCACAUCUUGGCUAUUGUGAGUAAUACUGCAAUAAACAUGAGUGGGCAGAUAUCUCUUUGAGAUCCUGACUUCAUUUCUUUUAUGUCUAUACCCAGAAGUGGAAUUGCUGGAUCAU